This 446-nucleotide ribosomal RNA is filed under the name uncultured bacterium. RNAcentral describes it as "bacterial SSU rRNA". It matches the Rfam family "Bacterial small subunit ribosomal RNA", at positions 330 to 792 of the family's 1533-position model. The record is from RNAcentral.
GCCAGACUCCUACGGGAGGCAGCAGUGGGGGAUAUUGCACAAUGGGGGGAACCCUGAUGCAGCGACGCCGCGUGGGUGAAGGAGUAUUUCGGUAUGUAAAGCCCUAUCGGCAGGGAAGAAGCAAGACGGUACCUGACUAAGAAGCCCCGGCUAACUACGUGCCAGCAGCCGCGGUAAUACGUAGGGGGCGAGCGUUAUCCGGAUUUACUGGGUGUAAAGGGGGCGCAGACGGCAGCGCAAGCCAGGAGUGAAAGCCCGGGGCCCAACCCCGGGACUGCUCUUGGAACUGCGCGGCUGGAGUGCAGGAGGGGCAGGCGGAAUUCCUGGUGUAGCGGUGAAAUGCGUAGAUAUUAGGAGGAACACCAGUGGCGAAGGCGGUCUGCUGGACAGUAACUGACGGUGAGGCGCGAAAGCGUGGGGAGCAAACAGGAUUAGAUACCCCUGUA